Molecule: ribosomal RNA, 441 nt
Filed under: uncultured Neocallimastigomycetes
Lineage: Eukaryota; Fungi; Neocallimastigomycota; Neocallimastigomycetes
Description: LSU rRNA
Rfam family: Eukaryotic large subunit ribosomal RNA
Source: RNAcentral
GCUCAAAUUUGAAAUCUUAAAGGGUUUCCCUUUACGAAUUGUAGUUUAAAGAAGUGUUUUCUGUUGAGGUUUUGGUAAAAGUUCUUUGGAAUAGGACAUCAUAGAGGGUGAGAAUCCCGUAUUUGACCUUUACUUUCAACUUUGUGAUACACUUUCAAAGAGUCGGAUUGUUUGGGAAUGCAGUCCAAAAUGGGUGGUAAAUUUCAUCUAAAGCUAAAUAUUGGCGAGAGACCGAUAGCGAACAAGUACCGUGAGGGAAAGAUGAAAAGAACUUUGAAAAGAGAGUUAAACAGUACGUGAAAUUGUCAAAAGGGAAGCGUUUGACACCAGUGUUGUUUUUCUGAAAAUCAAUUAAAGAACUGUUUAUGCUAAGUUGUUUAGACUUUAUCAGCUAACUGUUUAGUUUUGAGCUUUUCUUUAAUGCACUUUUCAUUUAACAAG